AGUGAACGCUGGCGGUAGGCCUAACACAUGCGAGUCGAACGGCAGCACAGUAAGAGCUUGCUCUUACGGGUGGCGAGUGGCGGACGGGUGAGGUAUACAUCGUAAUCUACUUUUUCGUGGGUGAUAACGUAGGGAAACUUACGCUAAUACCGCAUACGACCUACGGGUGAAAGCAGGGGAUCUUCGGACCUUGCGCGAUUGAAUGAGCCGAUGUCGGAUUAGCUAGUUGGCGGGGUAAAGGCCCACCAAGGCGACGAUCCGUAGCUGGUAUGAGAGGAUGAUCAGCCACACUGGCACUGAGACACGGUCCAGACUCCUACGGGAGGCAGCAGUGGGGAGUAUUGGACAAUGGGCGCAAGCCUGAUCCAGCCCUACCGCGUGGGUGAAGAAGGCCUUCGGGUUGUAAAGCCCUUUUGUUGGGAAAGAAAAGCAGCAGGUUAAUCCCCCGCUGUUCUGACGGUACCCAAAGAAUAAGCACCGGCUAACUUCGUG
RNAcentral lists this ribosomal RNA (492 nucleotides) under uncultured bacterium. RNAcentral's name for it is "partial 16S ribosomal RNA". It matches the Rfam family "Bacterial small subunit ribosomal RNA", at positions 29 to 507 of the family's 1533-position model. The record is from RNAcentral.